UUAUUAAUUUGGUUUCCCAGGGCUUCAGCUGUCGCUUGCAUUGCUGCUGCCAUAUUGCCUAAUGCAGCCAUGAAGUCUAUAGGAUUAGGAAUGUUUCCUGAUGCCUCAGGCAUGACAUUGCCUAUUCGGCCUCUACCUCGCCCGCGUCCGCGUCCGCGAGUAGACAUCUGGUCCCUAUACACACCAAACAAGUGAUAUCAAGUUGAUCA
Molecule: long non-coding RNA, 209 nt
Filed under: Arachis ipaensis
Lineage: Eukaryota; Viridiplantae; Streptophyta; Magnoliopsida; Fabales; Fabaceae
Description: long non-coding RNA (AIPA_LNC002424)
Source: RNAcentral